This 462-nucleotide unclassified non-coding RNA is filed under the name Hevea brasiliensis (rubber tree). Lineage: Eukaryota; Viridiplantae; Streptophyta; Magnoliopsida; Malpighiales; Euphorbiaceae. The record is from RNAcentral.
GGACGAACAGCCUUAAAAAGAAAAAGUUAAAAAGAAAGAAUAUAUGCAUUAGCAAAACCAUAUAAACACGACAAGAAUUGAAUUAAUAGAAGGGAUACAUCAUAAGCCCUCUUUCUAUUAUUAAUUAUUGAUUCUAUCCUCUAGAUAUUUUAUAUUUCAAUAGAGAAAAUGUUUUCUCAACAUCUCCAUCUUCAUCAUGAUGAGAUGAGAAAAGAAACAGACUUUCAAGCCUCCUUUCUUUUCUUUUAUCUUCAUUUUGUUUUUUCUGGCCAUAUAUAUCUAUUAGAGAACACCAAAUCAGGAUAUAUUUUUCCAAGCUUUAAGAUGUUGCGGUCAGAUGAGCAUAUCCAUGUGAAAUUUUGUGAGAUGGUUCGCAUGGAGACAAACUACUGAAGUGAACUCCUUUCUCUUCAUUUCCCUCUCCUUGGUCCUCUUCCUCAGCAUCCCACAGGAAUCGAGCAU